This 916-nucleotide ribosomal RNA is filed under the name uncultured bacterium. RNAcentral describes it as "bacterial SSU rRNA". It matches the Rfam family "Bacterial small subunit ribosomal RNA", at positions 56 to 991 of the family's 1533-position model. The record is from RNAcentral.
UGCAAGUCGAACGAGAAAGUUCCUUCGGGAGCAAUUAAAGUGGCGCACGGGUGAGUAACGCGUAGACAAUCUGCCCUUCAGUCUGGGACAACUUUUCGAAAGGAGAGCUAAUACCGGAUAACAUUGCAUGACACAAGUUGUAUAUUUGAAAGCUUUAUGUGCUGAAGGAGGGGUCUGCGUCCCAUUAGCUAGUUGGUAAGGUAAAGGCUUACCAAGGCAACGAUGGGUAGCGGGUUUGAGAGGACGAUCCGCCACACUGGAACUGAGACACGGUCCAGACUCCUACGGGAGGCAGCAGUGGGGAAUAUUGCACAAUGGAGGCAACUCUGAUGCAGCAAUGUCGCGUGAGUGAAGAAGGCCCUUGGGUCGUAAAGCUCUUUUAUGGGGGAAGAUGAUGACGGUACCCCAAGAAUAAGCACCGGCUAACUAUGUGCCAGCAGCCGCGGUAAUACAUAGGGUGCGAGCGUUGUUCGGAAUUACUGGGCGUAAAGGGCGCGCAGGCGGAAUAGUAAGUCGGAGGUGAAAGCCCGGGGCUCAACCCCGGAGGGUCUUUCGAAACUACUAAUCUAGAGAGGGUCAGGGGCCGGCAGAAUUCCUGGUGUAGAGGUGAAAUUCGUAGAUAUCAGGAGGAAUACCGGUGGCGAAGGCGGCCGGCUGGGGCCACUCUGACGCUGAGGCGCGAAAGCGUGGGGAGCAAACAGGAUUAGAUACCCUGGUAGUCCACGCCGUAAACGAUGAGCACUGGACGUCCGGAGGGUUCGACCCUUCUGGGUGUCUCAGCUAACGCAUUAAGUGCUCCGCCUGGGGAGUACGGUCGCAAGACUAAAACUCAAGGAAUUGGCGGGGGCUCGCACAGCGGUGGAACAUGUGGUUUAUUCGAUGCACGCGAAGAACCUUACCUGGUCUUGACAUCCUC